GCCUGGCUAAGCCUCCCUGGCGCCCAGCAGGGGCCUGCGCUGCCCUAGCGGCCUCGCCGUUAACCAUUUCAUCCACACUCCUGGGAGAGCCGGCUUCACCUCAGUCCCGACAGCUGCGUGCGAGCGCCUUGCAGGUUCUAAUUUAAUUGCAUUGUUGUCAGAGAACAAGUCUGUAUUCAGUCAAGAUCCUGGCAGGAAGCAGAUGGCACACUCAAAUUGGCAAUUACUGUUAUAUCAAGACUAAGCUUUGCUGCCUGUUCCCUGACUGCUCCUCAUCAAAGACAGAGUCUGAGAUACCAGUGCUGGCCCCUCCGUCCCACUCAAGACCCCUCCGACGGGCAGCUUUAUCAGGGACACCCAUCAGCUUGGCCGAAAGCUUCUGGGAGGGGGACUGCAGUCUGAGACUCUUCCUACCCAAGCCCCUUCCUUCCCUGUCUCUUUUGCAGGCCUCAGACCUGCCUCAGGAUCUGAAGCUCUUCUGCCUGCACCUGCUCCCUCCCCUCUAUCCUGCAUGGGCUUACUCCCAAUCACCACUCGCCCCUCCUCUAAUGCCACAGAGACAUGGACUGACAUGGAUCCCCGGGGAGCAUGUUUUUCUCUCCAGCUGGCCAUAUUCCUUGGGCGUCGAGUGACUCUGGCCUAGCCCACAGAGGAGCCACUUCCCUACCUUGUGCUGCAUCAUGCUGUAGCAUCUGAGAGGAGGCUCUCUGGACAGCUCUCUGUUGUCUCCAGGGCCGUCCCACCCAGGAGGACCUCGCAGCUCCCUAACAGUCCCCGUGAUGGCUUCCUGUGGUCCAGGCCAUCCCAAGACGGGCAGGAGAGCAGGACUAAACUGUGUCUCUCCUGCCCGUCCCCCUUGCCCUGGCUGCAGCCUCCACCCACUUCACAGACCUCAUCUAUUUUUCCAGUGGGAAAAGGCCCAGUAACAGAACAUGCGGGGCCCAGUGCAAAAUGAAAUAAAGCCGCCUUGUUCAAAAGCCUGGCAAAGUGCAGUUAAAGGUGCUAAAUAUACAAACCUCUUCCUCCAUUCCCCAGGCUCUCUUGAUUAGCCAUGGUGUUUUCUUGCUAUUUAAUGCCAUUCUAAGUAAAGAAAAUUAA
This 1098-nucleotide long non-coding RNA is filed under the name Homo sapiens (human). Its description in RNAcentral is "HSALNT0049825". Lineage: Eukaryota; Metazoa; Chordata; Mammalia; Primates; Hominidae. The record is from RNAcentral.